UGGCACCUUGAUGUCGGCUCAUCACAUCCUGGGGCUGUAGCCGGUCCCAAGGGUUUGGCUGUUCGCCAAUUAAAGUGGUACGUGAGCUGGGUUUAGAACGUCGUGAGACAGUUCGGUCCCUAUCUACCGUGGGCGUUGGAAAUUUGAGAGGAUCUGCUCCUAGUACGAGAGGACCAGAGUGGACGAACCUCUGGUGUACCGGUUGUC
RNAcentral lists this ribosomal RNA (207 nucleotides) under Prymnesium parvum. RNAcentral's name for it is "partial Bacterial large subunit ribosomal RNA". It matches the Rfam family "Bacterial large subunit ribosomal RNA", at positions 2519 to 2725 of the family's 2925-position model. The record is from RNAcentral. Lineage: Eukaryota; Haptophyta; Prymnesiales; Prymnesiaceae.